GAAACAUCUAAGUACCCGGAGGAAGAGAAAACAAAAGUGAUUACGCUAGUAGCGGCGAGCGAACGCGUAUUAGCCCAAACCAUAUCGUUUACGGACGGUAUGGGGUUGUAGGACCACGCCAUUUUAUGCAUAAUGAAUUAGAACCCUUUGGAAAGAGGGGCCAAAGACGGUGAUAGCCCGGUAUAGGUAAAGCAUGUUAUAGAUAGUGGUAUCCUGAGUAGUGUGGGGCACGUGAAACCCUGUAUGA
Molecule: ribosomal RNA, 247 nt
Filed under: uncultured Vexilliferidae
Lineage: Eukaryota; Discosea; Flabellinia; Dactylopodida; Vexilliferidae
Description: partial Bacterial large subunit ribosomal RNA
Rfam family: Bacterial large subunit ribosomal RNA
Source: RNAcentral